This 1549-nucleotide ribosomal RNA is filed under the name Kluyvera georgiana. RNAcentral describes it as "bacterial SSU rRNA". It matches the Rfam family "Bacterial small subunit ribosomal RNA". Lineage: Bacteria; Pseudomonadati; Pseudomonadota; Gammaproteobacteria; Enterobacterales; Enterobacteriaceae. The record is from RNAcentral.
ACUUAAAUUGAAGAGUUUGAUCAUGGCUCAGAUUGAACGCUGGCGGCAGGCCUAACACAUGCAAGUCGAACGGUAGCACAGAGAGCUUGCUCUCGGGUGACGAGUGGCGGACGGGUGAGUAAUGUCUGGGAAACUGCCCGAUGGAGGGGGAUAACUACUGGAAACGGUAGCUAAUACCGCAUAACGUCGCAAGACCAAAGUGGGGGACCUUCGGGCCUCACACCAUCGGAUGUGCCCAGAUGGGAUUAGCUAGUAGGUGGGGUAACGGCUCACCUAGGCGACGAUCCCUAGCUGGUCUGAGAGGAUGACCAGCCACACUGGAACUGAGACACGGUCCAGACUCCUACGGGAGGCAGCAGUGGGGAAUAUUGCACAAUGGGCGCAAGCCUGAUGCAGCCAUGCCGCGUGUAUGAAGAAGGCCUUCGGGUUGUAAAGUACUUUCAGCGAGGAGGAAGGUGUUGUGGUUAAUAACCGCAGCAAUUGACGUUACUCGCAGAAGAAGCACCGGCUAACUCCGUGCCAGCAGCCGCGGUAAUACGGAGGGUGCAAGCGUUAAUCGGAAUUACUGGGCGUAAAGCGCACGCAGGCGGUUUGUUAAGUCAGAUGUGAAAUCCCGGGCUCAACCUGGGAACUGCAUUUGAAACUGGCAAGCUUGAGUCUCGUAGAGGGGGUAGAAUUCCAGGUGUAGCGGUGAAAUGCGUAGAGAUCUGGAGGAAUACCGGUGGCGAAGGCGGCCCCUGGACGAAGACUGACGCUCAGGUGCGAAAGCGUGGGAGCAAACAGGAUUAGAUACCCUGGUAGUCCACGCCGUAAACGAUGUCUAUUUGGAGGUUGUGCCCUUGAGGCGUGGCUUCCGGAGCUAACGCGUUAAAUAGACCGCCUGGGGAGUACGGCCGCAAGGUUAAAACUCAAAUGAAUUGACGGGGGCCCGCACAAGCGGUGGAGCAUGUGGUUUAAUUCGAUGCAACGCGAAGAACCUUACCUACUCUUGACAUCCAGAGAACUUAGCAGAGAUGCUUUGGUGCCUUCGGGAACUCUGAGACAGGUGCUGCAUGGCUGUCGUCAGCUCGUGUUGUGAAAUGUUGGGUUAAGUCCCGCAACGAGCGCAACCCUUAUCCUUUGUUGCCAGCGGUUCGGCCGGGAACUCAAAGGAGACUGCCAGUGAUAAACUGGAGGAAGGUGGGAUGACGUCAAGUCAUCAUGGCCCUUACGAGUAGGGCUACACACGUGCUACAAUGGCAUAUACAAAGAGAAGCGACCUCGCGAGAGCAAGCGGACCUCAUAAAGUAUGUCGUAGUCCGGAUUGGAGUCUGCAACUCGACUCCAUGAAGUCGGAAUCGCUAGUAAUCGUAGAUCAGAAUGCUACGGUGAAUACGUUCCCGGGCCUUGUACACACCGCCCGUCACACCAUGGGAGUGGGUUGCAAAAGAAGUAGGUAGCUUAACCUUCGGGAGGGCGCUUACCACUUUGUGAUUCAUGACUGGGGUGAAGUCGUAACAAGGUAACCGUAGGGGAACCUGCGGUUGGAUCACCUCCUUACCUUAAAGAA